AGUGAACGCUGGCGGUAUGCCUAACACAUGCAAGUCGAACGGCAACACAGUAAGGGGUGGCUAUGACUGGUGGCGGGUGGCGUACUGGUUAGGAAUACAUCGGAAUCUAGUGUUUAGUGGGGGGAAACGUAUGGAAACAUAGGCUGAUACCUCAUGCUGCCUGCGGGUGAAAGCAGAGGAUCUUCUGACCUUGCGCGAUUGAAUGAGCCGAUGUCGGAUUAGCUAGUUGGCGGGGUAAAGGCCCACCAAGGCGACGAUCCGUAGCUGGUCUGAGAGGAUGACCAGCCACACUGGGACUGAGACACGGCCCAGACUCCUACGGGAGGCAGCAGUGGGGAAUAUUGGACAAUGGGCGCAAGCCUGAUCCGGCAAUACCGCGUGCGUGAAGAAGGCCUUCGGGUUGUAAAGCCCUUUUGUCGGGAAAGAAAAGCAGCACGUUAAUACCCCGCUGUUAUGACGGUACCCAAAGAAUAAGCACCGGCUAACUUCGUG
This 492-nucleotide ribosomal RNA is filed under the name uncultured bacterium. Its description in RNAcentral is "partial 16S ribosomal RNA". It matches the Rfam family "Bacterial small subunit ribosomal RNA", at positions 29 to 507 of the family's 1533-position model. The record is from RNAcentral.